This 388-nucleotide ribosomal RNA is filed under the name uncultured Leptolinea sp. RNAcentral describes it as "bacterial SSU rRNA". It matches the Rfam family "Bacterial small subunit ribosomal RNA", at positions 983 to 1382 of the family's 1533-position model. The record is from RNAcentral. Lineage: Bacteria; Bacillati; Chloroflexota; Anaerolineae; Anaerolineales; Anaerolineaceae.
GACAUGCAAGUGGUAGGAAGCCGAAAGGUGACGACCCUUCGGGAGCUUGCACAGGUGCUGCAUGGCUGUCGUCAGCUCGUGUCGUGAGAUGUUCGGUUAAGUCCGCUAACGAGCGCAACCCUCGCUGUGUGUUAUAUGUGUCACACGGGACUGCCGGUCUUAAGCCGGAGGAAGGUGGGGAUGAUGUCAAGUCAGCAUGGCCUUUAUAUCCUGGGCUACACACACGCUACAAUGGCCAACACAAUAGGUUGCGAAGCCGCGAGGCGGAGCCAAUCCAGCAAAAACUUCCCUCAGUUCAGAUUGCAGGCUGCAACCCGCCUGCAUGAAGUUGGAGUUGCUAGUAAACGCAGGUCAGCCAUACUGCCGUUGAACUACGUUCCCGGGGCUU